RNAcentral lists this ribosomal RNA (440 nucleotides) under uncultured bacterium. RNAcentral's name for it is "bacterial SSU rRNA". It matches the Rfam family "Bacterial small subunit ribosomal RNA", at positions 338 to 795 of the family's 1533-position model. The record is from RNAcentral.
CCUACGGGUGGCUGCAGUAGGGAAUCUUCCGCAAUGGACGAAAGUCUGACGGAGCAACGCCGCGUGAGCGAUGAAGGCCUUCGGGUCGUAAAGCUCUGUCCUAAGGGAAGAAUACUGACGGUACCUUAGGAGGAAGCCCCGGCUAACUACGUGCCAGCAGCCGCGGUAAUACGUAGGGGGCUAGCGUUAUCCGGAAUUACUGGGCGUAAAGGGUGCGUAGGCGGCCCUUCAAGUCAGCGGGGAAAGGCUACGGCUCAACCGUAGUAAGCCUUUGAAACUGUAGGGCUUGAGUGCAGGAGAGGAGGGUGGAAUUCCCAGUGUAGCGGUGAAAUGCGUAGAUAUUGGGAGGAACACCAGUUGCGAAGGCGGCUCUCUGGACUGUAACUGACGCUGAGGCACGAAAGCGUGGGGAGCGAACAGGAUUAGAUACCCUGGUAGUC